This 385-nucleotide ribosomal RNA is filed under the name uncultured bacterium. RNAcentral's name for it is "bacterial SSU rRNA". It matches the Rfam family "Bacterial small subunit ribosomal RNA", at positions 28 to 417 of the family's 1533-position model. The record is from RNAcentral.
GACGAACGCUGGCGGCGUGCUUAACACAUGCAAGUCGAGCGGUAAGGCCCUUUCGGGGGUACACGAGCGGCGAACGGGUGAGUAACACGUGGGUGACCUGCCUUUAGCUCUGGGAUAAGCCUGGGAAACUGGGUCUAAUACCGGAUACGACUCCGCGGUGCAUGCUGUGGGGUGGAAAGCCUUGUGCGGCUGGAGAUGGGCCCGCGGCCUAUCAGCUUGUUGGUGGGGUGAUGGCCACCAAGGCGACGACGGGUAGCCGGCCUGAGAGGGCGACCGGCCACACUGGGACUGAGACACGGCCCAGACUCCUACGGGAGGCAGCAGUGGGAAUCUUGCGCAAUGGCGAAAGCCUGACGCAGCGACGCCGCGUGAGGGAUGACGGCCU